GCCCUGGUGGCACAAUGGUUAAGUGCCUGGCUGCUAACUGAAAGGUUGGUGGUUCAAACCCACCCAGUGGCU
Molecule: transfer RNA, 72 nt
Organism: Loxodonta africana (African savanna elephant)
Lineage: Eukaryota; Metazoa; Chordata; Mammalia; Proboscidea; Elephantidae
Rfam family: tRNA
About the family: Transfer RNA (tRNA) molecules are approximately 80 nucleotides in length.
Source: Rfam